Thamnophis elegans (Western terrestrial garter snake) is the source of this 1386-nucleotide long non-coding RNA. RefSeq lists it as uncharacterized. Lineage: Eukaryota; Metazoa; Chordata; Lepidosauria; Squamata; Natricidae. The transcript has 4 exons. The record is from RefSeq and is a predicted model, not a curated record.
UGAGUCCUAGGAGGGAGGCUCCAUCCGAGAGUAGCCAAUGGGGGAGUUCGAUUUCUGCGGCUUGUCUUUCCGCACCUCCACGGCGUGAGCUGCAUUCCCGGGAGUUGCAGUGGCUCCUUCUACUCCAUCAGAGAGCCAACAGGAGCAACUCCUCCAUGAUGAGCCGUCUUCCUCCGGCCGUGAAGAGGUCUCUCAGGUGCUGGCAAUCAACGGCCCUGCAAAAAGGGCAUAUCUUCAAGGUGCUGACGAGAGUGGUCAUCACGACAGGCGCCAGCUUAGUGGGAUGGGGCGCUCACAUGGGACAUAGCAUGACUCAGGGCAAGUGGUCUACAGCUGAAGCAGCUUGCAACAUUAACUUCUUGGAGCUAUGGGCAGCGAAACCUGCCCUUCAUCAUUUCCAACAAGACAUUCUACAUCAGCAUGUACUCUUGAGGACGGACAAUGUGGCCACCAAGGCCCACAUAAAUCUCCAGGAUGGCACAAGGUCCAGGAAACUCAUGGUGGAAGCAGAGACCCUGGGCAAGUCGGCGGAGCGUCACGUCAAAUCCAUCCGCUCCGAUCACAUCUCCAGGGUGAACAUCACCCAAGCGGACUGGUUGAGCAGGACCACCAUAAACAAUGCAGAGUAGCAAUUGCACCUGGUCCUGUUCCGCCAGUUGUCCUGCAGAUUCGGCACUCCCACAGUUGACCUGUUUGCCACCCGUGAGAACAUGCAGCUCCAAAGUUUCUUCUCCCGCUUCCACUUGCCGGGGGGCGGAGGGGAUGGAUGCUCUCCACUGCAAGUGGUCCCAGGAACUGCUCUAUGCCUUUCCGCCAUUCCCUCUGUUACCAGAAGUGAUCCACAAAUUCUGUGCUGUAUUAAAUGUUAUCAAAUUCUGGCCACACAUAAUGUAUGUAAGUUGUUUUAAUAUGGAUUCCCAAUGGGUCAUUUGUUUAGUGUAUGGGCUAAUGUACCUGUCUCUCACCCUCUUAUACAGGCAAUAAUCAAAUAGGAUUUGAGCCAGGUCUUUUACCGCUGCUGCUCCACAAAUACAGAGACAUCCAUUAUAAGAUGCGGCUUCUGAGCAAUGAUGCUGGGCAUGGUGGAGAGUGCUUGAAACAAUACUAUCUGCAUUGGCAAAUAUGGCUGCAAUUGGUUCUCCUGGCUGUUCACCCACUCCUCAAUCUUCUUUUGUUGUGUGGGAAACAGAAUCCCAGCUUCCACAUCAUUUUUGCCCAUUUCAUUUUUAAAUAGCUGGAAAUGUUCUGCCUAAAUCUUGGCAAGUGACUUGACAAUUCAGAAUUCGAUGGGAAAAGACUGUGAGUCUGGAUUGGGCAUUUUCCCCUGCUUCCUGCUUUUUUGUCCUGAAUAUUGUGAAAUGUAUACUGUAAGUAAUUUUUGAAAAA